This 505-nucleotide ribosomal RNA is filed under the name uncultured bacterium. Its description in RNAcentral is "partial 16S ribosomal RNA". It matches the Rfam family "Bacterial small subunit ribosomal RNA", at positions 28 to 507 of the family's 1533-position model. The record is from RNAcentral.
GACGAACGCUGGCGGCGUGCCUAAUACAUGCAAGUAGAACGCACAGUUUAUACCGUAGCUUGCUACACCAUAGACUGUGAGUUGCGAACGGGUGAGUAACGCGUAGGUAACCUGCCUGGUAGCGGGGGAUAACUAUUGGAAACGAUAGCUAAUACCGCAUAAUAUUAAUUAUUGCAUGAUAAUUAAUUGAAAGGUGCAAUUGCACCACUACCAGAUGGACCUGCGUUGUAUUAGCUAGUAGGUGAGGUAACGGCUCACCUAGGCGACGAUACAUAGCCGACCUGAGAUGGUGAUCGGCCACACUGGGACUGAGACACGGCCCAGACUCCUACGGGAGGCAGCAGUAGGGAAUCUUCGGCAAUAGACGAAAGUCUGACCGAGCAACGCCGCGGGAGUGAAGAAGGUUUUCGGAUCGUAAAGCUCUGUUGUAAGAGAAGAACGGGUGUGAGAGUGGAAAGUUCACACUGUGACGGUAUCUUACCAGAAAGGGACGGCUAACUACGUG